ACCUUGCUGACGAGUGCCAAGUAGCACGAAACCCGGGUCCAGGGU
Molecule: non-coding RNA, 45 nt
Organism: Schistosoma haematobium
Lineage: Eukaryota; Metazoa; Platyhelminthes; Trematoda; Strigeidida; Schistosomatidae
Source: Rfam